Molecule: ribosomal RNA, 253 nt
Filed under: uncultured bacterium
Lineage: Bacteria
Description: partial 16S ribosomal RNA
Rfam family: Bacterial small subunit ribosomal RNA
Source: RNAcentral
UACGUAGGGUGCGAGCGUUAAUCGGAAUUACUGGGCGUAAAGCGUGCGCAGGCGGUUCGUUAAGUUCGUUGUGAAAGCCCCGGGCUCAACCUGGGAACUGCAAUGGAAACUGGCGGGCUUGAGUGUGGCAGAGGGGGGUGGAAUUCCGCGUGUAGCAGUGAAAUGCGUAGAGAUGCGGAGGAACACCGAUGGCGAAGGCAGCCCCCUGGGCCAACACUGACGCUCAUGCACGAAAGCGUGGGGAGCGAACAGG